RNAcentral lists this ribosomal RNA (183 nucleotides) under uncultured bacterium. RNAcentral's name for it is "partial 16S ribosomal RNA". It matches the Rfam family "Bacterial small subunit ribosomal RNA", at positions 521 to 703 of the family's 1533-position model. The record is from RNAcentral.
UAAUACAGAGGUGGCAAGCGUUGUUCGGAAUUACUGGGCGUAAAGGGCGCGUAGGCGGCCAUCUAAGUCAGACGUGAAAUCCCCCGGCUUAACCUGGGAACUGCGUCUGAUACUGGACGGCUUGAGUAUGGGAGAGGGAUGUAGAAUUCCAGGUGUAGCGGUGAAAUGCGUAGAUAUCUGGAG